GUAUGACAAAGUGGUGGCCGGGCACGGUGAGGUGCGCUGGCAGCUGUGUGACGCAGUGGUGGCCGGGCACUGUGAGGUGCACUGGCAGCUGUGUGGAUAUGUCAAAGUGGUGGCCUGGCAUGGUGAGGUGCACUGGCAGCUGUGUGGUGUGACGCAGUGGUGGCCUGGCACGGUGAGGUGCGCUGGCAGCUGUGUGACGCAGUGGUGGCCUUGCACGGUCAGCUGUACUGGCAGGUGUAUGAUGAAGUGGUGGCAUGGCACGGUGAGGUGCGCUGGCAGCUGUGUGAUGCAGUGGUGGCCUGGCACAGUGAGGUGCGCUGGCAGCUGUGUGGUGUGACGCAGUGGUGGCCUGGCACGGUGAGGUGCGCUGGUAGCUGUGUGACGCAGUGGUGGCCUGGCACAGUCAGGUGGGCUAGCAGCUGUUUUAUGCAGUUGUGGCUGGUCACAGUGAGGUUCACUGGCAGAUGUGUGGUGCGACGCAGUGGUGGCCUGGCAUGGUGAGGUGCGCUGGUAGCUGUGUGAUGCGGUGGUGGCCUGACACGGUGAG
Molecule: long non-coding RNA, 547 nt
Filed under: Lepisosteus oculatus (spotted gar)
Lineage: Eukaryota; Metazoa; Chordata; Actinopteri; Semionotiformes; Lepisosteidae
Description: lncRNA (ENSLOCG00000023282.1)
Source: RNAcentral